UCGCGCGCGCUCAGUCUUUUGGGAUUAAGAACGAGAUAAAGUAUGCUGUUGUUUCGUCCUGAUUUUUCACAAUUCAGGGACCAGUUGGGCUCCCGGUGGGGUUUCGAGGGUAGCCCGUACCUUGCAAGACUUUGCUGGACAAAAGCCCUGGCCUCAGCUCGCCUUGGCCCUGAGAGUUUAAACGUCUCUUCCCGAGUUUCAGACCGUCAGCGCCCUGCAGGACCGACGUGAGCCGGCAGCAGAUCUUGAAUCUGAAUCAACCUUAAUCCAGAGGCCCAGCAGGCAGGAGGGCCUGGUGUCUCAGGGUGUGAUCGGAGGAGUCACGAGCUUGCCUGUGCAGAGCCUGCUGCUGUCUGAGGACAGAGGAAGAGGAAAGUCAAACCCGGAGCAAACGUGCCCUACUAGCCUCAAUACUCAUAGGAGGAGGGAUAGCAGCCGGCACAGGCACAGGAACGAACCGCCGGCCUGGGGACCUCAUUGGGUCUGUACUACAAGCUAUCCCGAGAACUUACUGAAGACAUGGAACAGAUAUCAGAUUCCUUGUUAUCCCUCCAGAGCCAGCUAGAUGCACUGGCGGCAGUCACGCUGCAAAAUAGGUGACCGCUCGAUCUCACUGCAGAAAAGGGGGAACUUGUGUAUUCCUUGGAGAAGAGCGCUGUUACUGUGUAAAUCGGGUCGUCACUGCACAGUAAGGGAACUGAAAGAGGCUUCAAAAGAGAAAACAAGAACUAAACUCAGGAUGGGGCCUUGGUCUGGGCCAGUGGUUACUUCCUUGGUUACUUCCUUUGGCAGGACCACUGAUAACAAUCCUAUUGGUAACUAUAGGCCCAUGCCUACUCGGCACCCCAAUAAAGUUUACAGAGACAACAGUAACUCAAAGGGCCACAGCCCGUAUAAUGGCCCCACGAGGCUAUCACCCCUUAAGUAGCAAUCCUUUAGAAGUUGAUGCUCCUGUCUAGAGGCAAAAGAAGCAUCAAAGGGGGGGAAUGUCAGGGCGUUCCACCAAAACCUGCCUGCCUCGCUUAUCCUACUCCUGAUUGAGCCGCUGCUAAUGCUCACAGCUGAUUGGGUGAUUUUGGAUCAUACUGCAGAAUGGAAGUGGCACCUUGCCUUUCUGACAGAUGUAACAGAGCUACUCAACAGUUUCAGUGUGCAACUUCAAGGAAAGGGGAAGCUCAUCUGUGAUAUGUAAAUCACAUGUGAAAGCAUUUGAAGUAAAAUUAAGCCUCCUCAUCAAACAAGUGAAGGAGGAAAAUUUCUGCUAUCUCCCCACAACUCAAAAUCUGUUAGCAGAAAAACCAUUGGUUGUAUUCCCAAACAAAAUGUGUGGAUUCACUGGAAAAGUUGCAAAAGGAGUUCCAAUUUAGAUUUAAAGAGCUUCAUCUCCAUGAAUAGGACAUACAGCUUUUCCAUAACCCAUUUUCUAUUGACAUUGAAAAUGUGGAUGCAGUUUAUCAAAUGGAACUGGCUGAACUGCAGAAUUGUGACUCUCUGAAAGACGCAUUCAAGUCUUCCUAAUUUCUAUGUGCCUCUCCCCUCUGAGACAUACCCUAAUCUCAGGAACCAUACACUCAAAAUGGCAACCAUCUUUGGCAGCACUUAUGUCUGUGAACAGACUUUACAGAAUGAAACAUCUGAAAUCUCCAACCAGACCUAGACUAACUGAUGCAUACAAGCACCACUUGUUACGACUAGCGGUGACAAAUAUAGAACCAGACAUCGACCAUCUCAUUAGCCAAAAGCAGCCCCAUAGUUCCCGUUGAAAUACUGGGCCACCCCCUUGGCCAUGCGUGUCAAACCCCAGUGUCGCUCACGGCUUCCUCAAGGGAAGACAGUCGUGCCUUUCUGUGUGACCAGUGAUGGGGGUGCCCCCACCCGUAAUAGCCAUUUUUCAGCCCCAGGUCACAGGCUAGGACGCGUGUGUUUCCUCCGUGCUGCACUGGUGUGGUCCUUUUUCUCUCGUCUGUUUCCUGCACCCCAUAAUGGGAAACUUACCAUCUUCUGUCCCCUUUUCUUCUCCUCUGGCCUAUGUCCUUUUUGCUCUGAAGCCCCUCAGACUUUAUCCUGACUUUAAGCCCAAAUGCCUCAUCUUUUGUAACACAGCCUCGUCCCAAUAUAAAUUAGAUGAUGGGUCACUGGCCCAAAAAUGCGACCUUUGCCCUCCCUAUUGUCCAGAUCUUGAUAAGGUAACGUUUGCUGACCGGGGUAAGUGGUCCGAGCCUCCCUGUGUCCAGGGCUUUCUUUGCUGUCCACUCACAGCCCUCAUCUCUCACUGCGACCCUUCUCAGCUUUUCCUUUCUUCUGCCCCUCCUCGCUCAGUCAGACCGGGACCCGCUGGACCCUGCAGAUCACUUAGCCCUAGCCCUCUCCGCCCCCAGCCUGCUCCUUCCCCCCUGCACUGACUUGGCCCUAGUCAUCACCUCCCCCUUCCAGGGUUGCUGGGGCAGAAGGAAUCGUUUGUGUCCACAUCCCCCUUUCCCUCACAGACCUCUCCCAGAUCCAUACGCCUGGGUGUCUUCUCAGCAGAUUCCACUAAAUUUAUUCAGAAAUUCCAGUACUUUUGCCUAUCAUAUGAUAUUCCUGUCAACCUCCAAAUACCCUCAGUUCCCAUGAAGGUGACAGAGUGUGGGCUGACGGCCCAGUCACAUGCUGACAAUCAGUGGCGAGGGACCUGCCCUCGCUGAGGCCCGUGCUAUUCUAGAGGACCCCCCUUUGGAGUGUCAGCACAGUUCCCCAGAUCUCAGGCUCGGCCCCUGAGAUCAUGAGUGCCUGCCUGGUGGAAGCACUAAGAAAGGCGGCACAUGAAGCCGUUGGUUCUAACCAAUUAAGAGAAACAACCCAAACCCAAGAUAAGAAUCCUGCCCAAUUCUGGGAGCGAUUAGUAAGGCUAUGCAGAAAUUCUCUACGGACCCAGAGGGUUCCAAUGGCCGACUAAUCUCAAAAUGCAUCUCAUUUCCCAGUCCGCUCCAGACCUUAAAAAGAAACUCCAAAAGCUAGACCUCGGCCCCCAAGCCCCACAGCAGGAACUUACAGUGGUGGCCUUUAAGGUCUUUAACAACGGAGGAAGUGGCCCGUAAACAAAGACUAACUGAACUGCAGAUGCUUGGCUCUGCCGUCACACAGCCCAAUAGCAGCAGUGCCAAAAAGACUACUAAGCCCGGUCUAGGAUUCCAGAGUCCGCCCGGGCCUUGUUUCAAAUGUGGCCAAAGUGGCCACUGGGCUAGAAAGUGUCUGCAGCCUGGAACUCCCCCU
Molecule: non-coding RNA, 3252 nt
Organism: Microcebus murinus (gray mouse lemur)
Lineage: Eukaryota; Metazoa; Chordata; Mammalia; Primates; Cheirogaleidae
Source: RefSeq, a predicted model, not a curated record